GCCAAUGCCGGGUCUCUCCAGCCGCGUCGUGGAAUCGGAGAGUCCCCUCCUCCGCCGGAUUGGUGGUGAGAGCUUGCGAGACCGCCGCCGCGCCACCAGCCACCGAGAAGAAGCCAGAGCCGGUUGGGCCUAAGCGUGGAUCAAUUGUAAGUGGAUCCUUCUUCCAAUUCUCGCUCGAUUUGAUCUUGGGUCUUGUUCUUCUUCCAUCUUCUCAUCGCGCACAUUGCUAAAUCCUUGGAUGGAUGCAGGUGAAGAUCUUGCGGCCAGAGUCGUAUUGGUUCCAGACCACGGGCAAGGUCGUGACAGUGGAUCAGGUAAGCAUUUCUACUACUUUUCGUUUCUCUUUCGAUCGACUCGAUCGAUUGCCUGGAUUUUCCUGAUGGGUUCCUUGCAAUCGCCAGACC
This 404-nucleotide long non-coding RNA is filed under the name Selaginella moellendorffii. RNAcentral's name for it is "long non-coding RNA (SMOE_LNC001721)". Lineage: Eukaryota; Viridiplantae; Streptophyta; Lycopodiopsida; Selaginellales; Selaginellaceae. The record is from RNAcentral.